UCUUCCCUCACACUCCUCAUCACACUCAUCCUCACACUCUUCCCUCACACUCCCCAUCACCCUCAUCCCUCACACUCUUCCUCACACUCUUCCCUCAUACUCCUCUCCUCCACACUCACCCUUCCUUACACUCAGCCUCUAGCAGGUGUCCACAGACUCUGCCUCAGCCAAAUUACUCAGACAUGGAAAACAGGGUUUGUUUCUUUUUUGGCACGUUUGAGUGAUGAAGCAGAGUCCAUUUAAAGAGAAUAUAGACAUUAUGGCAUGGUUAUUUUUUUUUCUAAUAUGUUCUUCUUCAAAAGAGUCCCGUGAAGCAGCUGGCCCAAGUCCUUGCGGGUAGAUUUGCUGAUGGGUACAUUAAAGAGCCUCACCUCACACGUGUGUGCAUCACGUGUAAACGACACAGCUAUAGAGGAGGAAUGCGGCCCUAGUGGAGGAUGCUGUGCUGUGAGCACUGCCUGCACACGUUGAUAUCCCUCCUUCAGGGACUGCUGGGCAUCUGGGUUACAAAGCACCUGCCUAGUGGCAGAUCCUUCUGACUGGAUGUUUGUUUUCCCACAUGGCCGAAGUCAUACACACAUUGUGAGUACAAGAAACUGAGGAAGAGACCAGGGAAGGAGAUGAAAAGCAGCCAAGGAGAUGGCCAGGAUGGAGCAGCACCCCAGCAUGCACUAGGAAGAGCGGGUACCCCAGCAUGCAGUAGGAAGAGCAGGUACCCCAGCAUGUACUAGGAAGAGCGGGUACCCCAGCAUGCACUAGGAAGAGCGGGUACCCCAGCAUGCACUAGGAAGAGCGGGUACCCCAGCAUGCACUAGCAUUGUCAGAUCAUGUCUCCUGCAUUGUGGACGAAUAAACACUUUGAAACAAGCAUCAGCCUGAGGCAUACAGUUCCUCACACUUGUCUCACUCCCCACUACCCCCAAGGGCCACACCACAUUAUUCUCCACCAUUCUGGUAGCUAAAAGUCCAAAACUGAGGUGUCUUCAGAUCUGUGCUGCCAUGGGAGAUUCUAAGGGACCAUCUAUCCUCACUUCAGCCUAUGGUGGCUGUGAUGGUUUGAAUGAGAAUGGCCCCAUAGUUUCAUGUAUUUGAAUACUUGGGCCCCAGUUAGUGGAACUGUUUGGGAAGGAUGAGAAGGUGUGGUCUUGUUGAAGAAGGCCUGUCACUUGGGGUAAGCUUGAGGUUUC
Peromyscus maniculatus bairdii (prairie deer mouse) is the source of this 1187-nucleotide non-coding RNA. The record is from RefSeq and is a predicted model, not a curated record. Lineage: Eukaryota; Metazoa; Chordata; Mammalia; Rodentia; Cricetidae.